Molecule: ribosomal RNA, 256 nt
Filed under: uncultured bacterium
Lineage: Bacteria
Description: partial 16S ribosomal RNA
Rfam family: Bacterial small subunit ribosomal RNA
Source: RNAcentral
UACGUAGGUGGCGAACGUUAUCCGGAAUUAUUGGGCGUAAAGGGUGCGCAGAUGGUCUGACAAGUUAGCAGUGGCAAAUCGAGGCUCAACCUCGUGGAAACUGGUAAUACUGUCUGACUCGAGUACAGGAGAGGUUAACGGAACUCCAUGUGGAGCGGUAAAAUGUGUAGAUAUAUGGAAGAACACCAAUAACGGCGAAGGCAGUUAACUAUUCUGUUACUGACAUUGAGGCACGAAAGCGUGGGGAGCAAAACGG